Molecule: non-coding RNA, 72 nt
Organism: Saimiri boliviensis boliviensis (Bolivian squirrel monkey)
Lineage: Eukaryota; Metazoa; Chordata; Mammalia; Primates; Cebidae
Source: the annotation of a RefSeq genome assembly
GGGGGUAUAGCUCAGUGGUAGAGCACGUGCUUAGCAUACAUGAGACCCUAGGUUCAAUCCCUGGCACCUCCA